Salvia hispanica is the source of this 4850-nucleotide RNA transcript. It is a transcript of the gene named nuclear factor kappa-B-binding-like protein, with no coding region annotated. The record is from RefSeq and is a predicted model, not a curated record. Lineage: Eukaryota; Viridiplantae; Streptophyta; Magnoliopsida; Lamiales; Lamiaceae.
CAAGUCCAAGUGUAAUCGUACGCGCACCCUCUCUCACACACUACACGCACUGCGCCCUUCCCCAUCUCUCUCUCUCACACACACGCACAAUAUAACCGCCUGCCUUACUUUUUCUCGUAUACCUAUUGCUAGGGUUUCCUCGCGAUUGAGGAUAUUCGCGAUCGGCCCUUCUGCCGCUCUCGUCUCCGUUUCCGUUUCCGUUUCCGUUUCCGUCUCAUCCACCAAUUCAGGGUUUUGAAUUGAAGUGGAGCUUUAUCUUGAAUCUGGGUUAUUUGUUCGAGGUAAUGUUACUGUUGAAUGGCGAUUGAAAAGAAUAGCUUUAAGGUAGCACGUUUUGACCUGGAGUUUCAAUCCCCUCACAGUAGGGAUACACAUACACCUAUGUCUAGCGAUGACGAUGCAGAUUUUCAGCGGAAUCCUGGUGCUCCUGCUGUUGAAUCUGAUGAUGAUGAUGAUGAUGAAUUUGAUGAUUGUGAUUCCGGAGCAGGUUCAGAUGACUUUGAUUUGUUGGAAUUGGGUGAAUCUGGCGAGGAGUUUUGCCAGGUUGGCGAUCAAACAUGUAGCAUUCCUUAUGAACUGUAUGAUCUCCCAGGGUUGAAAGAUGUGCUCUCCAUGGAGGUUUGGAAUGAGACUUUAACCGAAGAAGAAAGAUUUGGUCUUUCCAAGUAUCUGCCUGAUAUGGACCAAGAAAACUUUAUGUGUACGCUCAAAGAACUAUUUUCUGGUGAUAAUUUGCAUUUUGGGAGCCCCAUUGAUAAGUUGUUUGAGAUGUUGAAGGGAGGAUUAUGCGAGCCAAGGGUGGCACUCUACAAAAAGGGUUUGAAUUUUUUUCAGAGAAAACAGCACUAUCAUACCUUGCAGAUGCAUCAUAACGGUUUAGUAAACAAUAUUUGUCAGAUUAGAGAUGCAUGGAUGAAUUGCAGGGGGUACAGUAUUGAGGAGAAGCUUCGUGUAUUGAACAUUAUGAGGAGUCAGAAGAGUUUGAUGAAUGAAAACAUGGAAGAGUUUCAAAGCGAUUCAUCUGAUAGGGAAGAGUCUGCUGAUGGUUUGUGGGACAAAAGGCUGAAGGAUUCAAAACUUGUUCAGAAGACAGGUCGUCAUUCAGCACACAGCAUGGGUCCAGCAUCAGAUAUUUCUUCUCAAACCCGGAAAACCAAAAGCAACAUGGAAUCAGCCAAGUUUGAAAAACGAUUUCCUAGAGGAACUCUGAAGCUGGGUGGAUCUAAAACCACUUCAGGGAGAGAGUUGGCAGAACCUUUUUCUUCAACUCACCCUGGACGCUAUGGUUUGGGACUUCCUGACUCUCAUUAUAAUAUAGAUUCAGGACGUGACCCUUCUGCUGCAGUUGGGAAGAAUGAUCAGGUUCUAGAGUAUGAUGAUGAGGAAGACACAAUGGUUGAAGUGGCAGUCCGUAGAGAUCGGAAUUUACAUCGAGUUGGGGUAAACGAUAAGUCUAUAGCUUCUAAAUGGAAGAAACAUGAAGAGGAUAAAGAUAGUUUUAUGCAAAGUCAUAUGUCAGGGAGGAACAAUUUACAUGCUCUUGGGAGGAAUAGGGCUAUCAACAAGUUGUCUGAUAUCAAGGUCUUAACUGCAAAGCCAUCUAAUGCAAGAAACAUGUAUGACAGUGGAAAAAAGGUUAAAUACUCAGAAAAUCAUCAGCUAUUUACUGCUGAAAAUCAGAUGAAACUUGGUAAGGGUCAGAAGUUGCAUUCAUCUUUAAAAGGAAGUCAAAUGGAACUUUUAGAUGCAAAUGAUCCUGCGUGGCUUAAACAUGAGGGGAUUUUCCCCACCACUGAUUUGAACACCAGAAAUAAGAAGUGGAAGAUGAGUAGGGAAGGCAUUGAUCUUAAUGCGAAUGAUAAAUUUUUGCCCACUGAAUAUAGAGCCAGGCCUUCGCAGGAUAAGUUCCAGGGAAGUUCCCAGAAUGGAAAAAGAGACGGUGUUGGAAACAGAGUUGGGUUGUUUUCCAAAGCUGAAGACACAGAAUCAGAUUCAUCAGAACCUAUGGAUGAGGAUGAUGAUGAUGAUGAUGAUGAUGACAAUCCGUUGAUGAGGAGCAAGUGGGCUUACCCUGGUGGUGUGCCAGAGCUGAGACUUGGCUCAGAUGCAAAGAAGUCCCAAUUUUCAGAGAGAGAUGAGAAAGAAAGGUAUCCAAUGGGUGAUGGAUCAUCACAUUCUCGAAUGAUGCAGGAUUAUAGCCACACCCUAGAUAUGAUGAGAUCAGAACAGAAGGGUAAGAUGCAUGAUGUUGCCCACUUUAAUAUGUUGCCCAAAGAUUUGAAUAAAUACUAUUAUCCAGGAGGGAUUGGCACUGAAGAACAGCAUCAGAUCCACCCAUUGGGAAGAAAUGGCCAUGUAGAAGGGACCCAUGGUGAUAAUUUCCAAGCGCCAUUGAAAUCCUCUCUCGUACUGGGUAGAAGGCGGAAAGGUGAAGUUCCUCAUGAUUUCAGCCAUCUUCAAUCAAACUAUAUGCAAGGCCAUCAGUUUGAAAAUGAUUUAUUCUGGACUCGACCACCAGGAGCAUCUAAUGGGCUACCUUUCAAAUUGGGGAAGAAAGGCCACUUGGUUGACUUGUCUGCUAGUCAUCAUCCUGAAAGAUCAGAUAUAGCAUUGCUAGGCUGCAAUGCUCUCUCAAAAAAGCGGAAAGUAAAGGACGACCUGACCUACUUGGAAUUGCAAGAAAAUAAUCACUUCCUUCAUGCUGAUGCUGAGCCGCAGUUAGAUGAUGUCAGUUCUUCAAGGAAACGGGGUAAACACAAAUUAGAGGAGGCAUCUGAUAGUCUAGAGAAUGGAGGUCCUCAGCCUCCUGGUAUGGAAAUGGAAGUAGAAGAUAUUGAGGCAGAAACUAAGCGGCCCAAAAAGUCAUUUCCCUUGAUCACACCUACGGUUCACAAUGGCUUCUCAUUCUCUAUAAUUCAUCUUCUUUCAGCCGUUCGUAUGGCUAUGGUUACACUGUUUCCUGAAGAUUCUUCAGAAACUGGAAAACACCCUGAUAAGACUGAUGCUGAACAGGGGGUCAAGGAAGAGCAAAGCAGCAAGCAAGAAGAUGCUAUUGCUAAUUCAAAUCCAAGCAUGGGCGUUGACGCUUCUAUGCCAUUAUCCCUGGCAAAUGUUCCUUUCCUCACUGUUCAGGAAAUUGUCAAUCGUGUUAAAUCAAAUCCUGGUGAUCCCUGUAUUCUUGAGACACAGGAGCCACUUCAGGAUUUAAUUAGAGGCGUCCUGAAAAUUUUCUCAUCCAGGACUGCUCCUCUAGGAGCAAAAGGGUGGAAACCACUUGUUGUGUAUCAAAAGUCCACAAAAAGUUGGUCAUGGAUUGGCCCUGUAUCUCAUAACUCGUCUGAUUCUGAGGCAGUUGAAGAGGUGACAUCUCCAGAUGCAUGGGGCCUCCCUCACAAAAUGCUUGUCAAAGUAGUUGACUCAUUUGCUAAUUGGCUAAAAAAUAGUCAGGAGACACUUCAACAAAUUGGCAGUCUCCCUGACCCUCCUUUGACACUGAUGCAAAUGAAUUUGGAUGAGAAAGAAAGGUUCAAGGACCUUAGAGCUCAGAAGAGUCUGAAUACCAUUGGCCCUAGCUCUGAAGAAGUAAAAGCUUAUUUUCAGAAGGAAGAAGUCCUUAGGUAUCUAAUACCAGACAGGGCUUUCUCGUACACAGCUGUUGAUGGAAAAAAAUCAAUUGUUGCACCUUUGAGGAGGUGUGGUGGCAAACCAACGUCAAAGGCCCGGGAUCAUUUUAUGUUAAAGCGUGACAGACCACCACAUGUCACAAUCCUUUGUCUGGUGAGAGAUGCUGCAGCUAGAUUGCCUGGAAGUAUUGGGACGCGAGCAGAUGUAUGCACAUUAAUUAGAGACUCGCAAUAUAUUGUGGAAGAUGUGUCUGAUGCACAGGUCAAUCAGGUAGUUAGUGGAGCGCUGGAUCGACUGCAUUAUGAGCGCGAUCCUUGUGUCCAGUUUGACGGAGAGAGAAAAUUGUGGGUUUACUUGCAUAGAGACAGAGAAGAAGAAGAUUUUGAGGAUGAUGGGACUUCAUCCACUAAGAAAUGGAGAAGACAGAAGAAAGAAGCUACUGAACCUUCUGAACCUGGAGAUGCCAGUGUUGCUUACUCUGGACCUGCGGGGCAACCAGGGUUUGAUUCGGUAUCUGAUCUUAAUGCUGACACAUUAUGCUUGGAUGAUGAGAAGAGAUCUGAUCCGGAAUAUCAAAAUGGUAAUGAUCAGGUGGAGGACAAUGCUGAAAUUAGCCAUGGUUCUGAUCCUGGUCCAGCACCAGGGAUGUGGAAUGGCCUUGGUCAGAAAUCUACUGAAGAAACUAAGUUAAUCUGCCAAGAGAAUUCGACUAAUGAAGAAUUUGAUGAGGAAGCAUUUGGUGGGGAGCCACCAGCAUAAUUGUUGAACAUAAAACCUUCAUCGUUAGCAGAAAAAAGGUAUUACAAUGCAGCUUACAGUGCUGAUGCAGUGUCUAGUUUGUUCUUGAUUACUAUUGCUCUCUCAGAUUUAGAGAAAAUGACUUUUUGAGCAUGUCAGCAUCCUGUGUAAAAUAAUGAUCAUGACAGGCUUAAAAAUGGUUCUGUUGUAAUAUCUUUUUAUAGGGAACAUGAAUACUUUUUUCACUUCAAUGAUAAGAUCUGCUGGGGCCUUAUUCCACUUGGCUUCCCAGCCAAUUGUUGCAUUACAGAGGUCCCCCUACGCUGGUUGCAGAAUUUCUUCUUUGUUGGAGACGAUGAAAGAGUGGUGGUGCUACUGCUAGCGGAUGUCAUGAUUCAUGAAUGUCAUUUUGGUAUAUUGAUUUCAAGUCCGUGUACAUAUAUCCAUAAUUACCCUCUUACUUGGCCGUAUAAAAAUUUUUAUUUUAA